RNAcentral lists this ribosomal RNA (784 nucleotides) under Lederbergia lenta. Its description in RNAcentral is "bacterial SSU rRNA". It matches the Rfam family "Bacterial small subunit ribosomal RNA", at positions 76 to 844 of the family's 1533-position model. Lineage: Bacteria; Bacillati; Bacillota; Bacilli; Caryophanales; Bacillaceae. The record is from RNAcentral.
GGGAGCUUCCUGGAUGUUAGCGGCGGACGGGGUGAGUAACACGUGGGUAACCUGCCUGUAAGACUGGGAUAACUCCGGGAAACCGGGGCUAAUACCGGAUGCUUGAUUGAACCGCAUGGUUCAAUUAUAAAAGGUGGCUUUUAGCUACCACUUACAGAUGGACCCGCGGCGCAUUAGCUAGUUGGUGAGGUAACGGCUCACCAAGGCGACGAUGCGUAGCCGACCUGGAGGGUGAUCGGCCACACUGGGACUGAGACACGGCCCAGACUCCUACGGGAGGCAGCAGUAGGGAAUCUUCCGCAAUGGACGAAAGUCUGACGGAGCAACGCCGCGUGAGUGAUGAAGGUUUUCGGAUCGUAAAACUCUGUUGUUAGGGAAGAACAAGUACCGUUCGAAUAGGGCGGUACCUUGACGGUACCUAACCAGAAAGCCACGGCUAACUACGUGCCAGCAGCCGCGGUAAUACGUAGGUGGCAAGCGUUGUCCGGAAUUAUUGGGCGUAAAGCGCGCGCAGGCGGUUUCUUAAGUCUGAUGUGAAAGCCCCCGGCUCAACCGGGGAGGGUCAUUGGAAACUGGGAACUUGAGUGCAGAAGAGGAGAGUGGAAUUCCACGUGUAGCGGUGAAAUGCGUAGAGAGUGGAGGAACACCAGUGGCGAAGGCGACUCUCUGGUCUGUAACUGACGCUGAGGCGCGAAAGCGUGGGGAGAGAACAGGAUUAGAUACCCUGGUAGUCCACGCCGUAAUUCGAUGAGUACUAAGUGUUAGAGGGUUUCCGCCCUUUAGU